AGUUUGUAUAGUUUAAACAAAACAUUAGGCUGUGAACCUAAAAACAGGCCUACGCCUUACAGACC
This 65-nucleotide transfer RNA is filed under the name Alopoglossus viridiceps (green-headed shade lizard). RNAcentral's name for it is "tRNA-His". It matches the Rfam family "tRNA". From Rfam's summary of the family: Transfer RNA (tRNA) molecules are approximately 80 nucleotides in length. Lineage: Eukaryota; Metazoa; Chordata; Lepidosauria; Squamata; Alopoglossidae. The record is from RNAcentral.